AAAAGCCCAUAGGGAAUUGCUCUUUCAAACUCAUUUAAUUUUCAUUCAAAGAAAAUACCCUUUUCGUUAUUCUUUCAUUUGUUACUUCGAUCAUUGUUUUGGAGUUCAUUUUCUCGUUGGUUCCUAUGUGUUUAGAGAGCCAAAGUUUUUAUUUUCAAAUUUCUAUCACGCUUAUUUCAUUUUUCUUAUGAUUAUAUAAAGAAAAUGGGAUCAAGCUUGCUUCAGUGGGAAUCCGACCGUCUAUUCUCAGCAGCCGAAGUUGUUCAAGAUUCAGCUGACAGGAUGGAAUAUUUUUCACCUUCUUUUGCAUGAACAGAGUCUUGUUCAAGGUGAUCAUUCUGACCUGAGAUUGCUUACUUCGAUUGGGUAUCAUAGGUGUGAUCUUGCUACCAUACUCGAAACAACAAAAUGGCAGUUGGAAGAUGUUGAACGAGCAGUUAGCUCAUCAACUAGGAUGGAUCAGUACCACUCUAGGGAGGAUAUGAUUUCCAGACAUAAGCAGUUUAUUAGAGCCAUUGGGGAACAGAUAAAUAAUGUUGAGAAAAGCUUGGAGGAAAUGGCAAUGGGAAAUCCCAUGAAAAACUCGGAGUGGGGAAACUUGAAUGAACAAGAUAGAGAUGGUUUGGCAUUAUUUCUUUCUCGGGGAAAUCAUAGUGAACACAAUCACCGUUAUGACUUGGAUGAUAGUGACAUCUUGAAAAGAUUUCUUGAUCCAACCACAGCAUCUUGCUCAAUAGAUACUGGAAUUGUUAGGAAUGAAUGUGGAGAAAUUGAAGAAGUGAAUAUGAAUGGUGUUUCUUAUAAUAGCCUGUAGCCAUUAUUAUGAUCCUAUGAAGGAUAAUAACUUAGGGAAAGUAGGUUCUCAUCGUUCUAUAAAUUUGGGUCUAGAUCAGUGGAUUCUUUCCAAGAGAGUUCUCGUAACAGGAAUGCUGAAGAUGGAAGUUGGGAUUUAGAAGCUACUGAAGGCAAAUCUAAGAGUUUCUUCCUUGAGAACAAAUUGAGAGGCUCUUCCAGCAGAAUGAAUCUCUUUGGGUUCUUCAAUAAUCUAUGGACUGCAUAUGGGAGUAGAAUUCCUAGCAAUUAUACUAAAAGAUUGAAAGACGGAGAAGAAGGGCGUUUGCCAUCAUACGUUGAUGCUUAUCAUGCUGCACAGCGUCAGUGUAUUGAACUAAGUUCAGCACCUGGUGACCAUGGUCUCCAGGGAUUACGUGGGUUUCUGAUAAAGGUCAUGCACCUGCAAAGGAGACUUGGAGCAUGUAAUGCCAGAUAUGAUAGAUUUUCCUAACUUGGUACAGGUAUGUUGGUCUUCCAUAUCACUUGAAAAUAAUCUUUUGCAGUUUGAUAGAAACACCGUUGCAUGUCCAAAGUGGGCGCAAGCAAUGUUCUUUCACUUUUUGCCCACUAAACAUGUGGGUGUGAGGACUUUUGUUGUUUGUGCCUGUUGAAAUUCUCCACUCUGUGGGUUGUUUCGUGUAAAGAUUAUCAAGCAUAUAAUCACCGAUCACGAGUAAAAGCAUUUCGGCAUGCAAAUUCAUCUUGGGAGUAUUCUAUUGAUUCAAUCACUCCUGAAAGUUUCACAGUAACCAUCUGUGAUUCAUGAGCAGUAUGGCUGUGCAGAUUACUAGCUCUGCUCCUAUGGUAAGUUGAGGUAACUGAUUCUCUCAAAUUAACUUCGAGUUCGCUAUCCGCCGUAGAAAACUAGCGAUACUAUGUAAUUUAGUGCAACAAAUCUAAGAAAUUAAUUCUGUUUGUGGCCUGCCGUUGAUUUUUCAGAUCUACUUGAGUUAAACUAAACAGUUGUACAGUAUCAUAUACUUAAUUCUAUGUAUCAUUCAAAGCCAUCUCAAACUAUGUAGUGGUUUACAAAACAGAUCA
Molecule: RNA transcript, 1875 nt
Organism: Durio zibethinus
Lineage: Eukaryota; Viridiplantae; Streptophyta; Magnoliopsida; Malvales; Malvaceae
Source: RefSeq, a predicted model, not a curated record